Molecule: ribosomal RNA, 1284 nt
Filed under: Salmonella enterica
Lineage: Bacteria; Pseudomonadati; Pseudomonadota; Gammaproteobacteria; Enterobacterales; Enterobacteriaceae
Also listed under: 1 other name
Description: partial 23S ribosomal RNA
Rfam family: Bacterial large subunit ribosomal RNA
Source: RNAcentral
AGGCGAUGAAGGGCGUGCUAAUCUGCGAUAAGCGCCGGUAAGGUGAUAUGAACCGUUAUAACCGGCGAUACCCGAAUGGGGAAACCCAGUGUGACUCGUCACACUAUCAUUAACUGAAUCCAUAGGUUAAUGAGGCGAACCGGGGGAACUGAAACAUCUAAGUACCCCGAGGAAAAGAAAUCAACCGAGAUUCCCCCAGUAGCGGCGAGCGAACGGGGAGGAGCCCAGAGCCUGAAUCAGCAUGUGUGUUAGUGGAAGCGUCUGGAAAGGCGCGCGAUACAGGGUGACAGCCCCGUACACAAAAGCGCAUGUGCUGUGAGCUCGAUGAGUAGGGCGGGACACGUGGUAUCCUGUCUGAAUAUGGGGGGACCAUCCUCCAAGGCUAAAUACUCCUGACUGACCGAUAGUGAACCAGUACCGUGAGGGAAAGGCGAAAAGAACCCCGGCGAGGGGAGUGAAAAAGAACCUGAAACCGUGUACGUACAAGCAGUGGGAGCCCCACCACCAAAGCAUUUGCUGUACCGCGUUGACGGAGCGAAGCGACGUCAAACCGAUAAAACAGCAGUGUAAAGUGAGCCGCAGGGCGCUUUGCGCGACAGCGCAAAGGCAGGCGGUUUCGCGUAGCGAAAGCGAAUGCUUUGGGGUGGGGUGACUGCGUACCUUUUGUAUAAUGGGUCAGCGACUUAUAUUCUGUAGCAAGGUUAACCGAAUAGGGGAGCCGGAGGGAAACCGAGUCUUAAUUGGGCGUUAAGUUGCAGGGUAUAGACCCGAAACCCGGUGAUCUAGCCAUGGGCAGGUUGAAGGUUGGGUAACACUAACUGGAGGACCGAACCGACUAAUGUUGAAAAAUUAGCGGAUGACCUGUGGCUGGGGGUGAAAGGCCAAUCAAACCGGGAGAUAGCUGGUUCUCCCCGAAAGCUAUUUAGGUAGCGCCUCGUGAAUUCAUCUCCGGGGGUAGAGCACUGUUUCGGCUAGGGGGCCAUCCCGGCUUACCAACCCGAUGCAAACUGCGAAUACCGGAGAAUGUUAUCACGGGAGACACACGGCGGGUGCUAACGUCCGUCGUGAAGAGGGAAACAACCCAGACCGCCAGCUAAGGUCCCAAAGUCAUGGUUAAGUGGGAAACGAUGUGGGAAGGCCCAGACAGCCAGGAUGUUGGCUUAGAAGCAGCCAUCAUUUAAAGAAAGCGUAAUAGCUCACUGGUCGAGUCGGCCUGCGCGGAAGAUGUAACGGGGCUAAACCAUGCACCGAAGCUGCGGCAGCGACACUGUGUGUUGUUGGGUA